Molecule: ribosomal RNA, 460 nt
Filed under: uncultured bacterium
Lineage: Bacteria
Description: partial 16S ribosomal RNA
Rfam family: Bacterial small subunit ribosomal RNA
Source: RNAcentral
CCUACGGGUGGCAGCAGUGAGGAAUAUUGGUCAAUGGACGAGAGUCUGAACCAGCCAAGUCGCGUGAAGGAUGAAUGCUCUAUGGUUUUUAAACUUCUUUUAUAAAGGAAUAAAACUAGGCACGUGUCCCUUUUUCCAUGUAUCUUAUGAAUACGGAUCGGCUAACUCCGGGCCAGCAGCCGCCGUAAUACGGAGUCUCCGAGCGUUAUACGGGUGUAUUGGGUUUAAAGGUUGCGUAGUUGGGUUGUUAAGGCAGAUGUGAAAGUUUUCGGCUCAACCGUAAAAUUGCAUUUUAAACUGGAAGUCUUGAGUACAGUUGAGGUAGGCGGAAUUCGUGGUGUAGCGGUGAAAUGCUUAGAUAUCACGAAGAACCCCGAUUGCGAAGGCAGCUUACUAAACUGUGACUGACAUUGAUGCUCGAAAGUGUGGGGAUCAAACAGGAUUAGAUACCCCAGUAGUC